UACGGGAGGCAGCAGUGGGGAAUAUUGCACAAUGGGCGCAAGCCUGAUGCAGCCAUGCCGCGUGUAUGAAAAAGGCCUUCGGGUUGUAAAGUACUUUCAGUCGUGAGGAAGGUGUUAAGGUUAAUAACCUUAGCAAUUGACGUUAGCGACAGAAGAAGCACCGGCUAACUCCGUGCCAGCAGCCGCGGUAAUACGGAGGGUGCGAGCGUUAAUCGGAAUUACUGGGCGUAAAGGGCACGCAGGCGGUUAAUUAAGUUGGAUGUGAAAUCCCCGGGCUUAACCUGGGAAUGGCAUUCAAGACUGGUUAGCUAGAGCCUUGUAGAGGGGGUAGAAUUCCAUGUGUAGCGGUGAAAUGCGUAGAGAUGUGGAGGAAUACCGGUGGCGAAGGCGGCCCCUGGACAAAGACUGACGCUCAUGUGCGAAAGCUGGGGAGCAAACAGGGAUUAGAUACC
This 452-nucleotide ribosomal RNA is filed under the name uncultured bacterium. RNAcentral's name for it is "bacterial SSU rRNA". It matches the Rfam family "Bacterial small subunit ribosomal RNA", at positions 340 to 786 of the family's 1533-position model. The record is from RNAcentral.